GUGCCAUUGUUGCCCACGUUUCCUUGGCGAGACAACGGGGAGAAUGGGGUUGGCCUUAUGAAAGGGGGUCAUUCCGGCAAGCCGGCCCGGUCCUUAGAAAAGACAGAGAUAUCCAAAACACAGGGGAUGUGAGAGUUGGCGCUGUACCCUAUCAUAUCGACUGAGAGGUGUGCACGCCACUUUUCAGACCUAAUUUAUGUCCCAA
This is a long non-coding RNA of Ornithodoros turicata, 205 nucleotides long. RefSeq lists it as uncharacterized. The transcript is spliced from 3 exons. Lineage: Eukaryota; Metazoa; Arthropoda; Arachnida; Ixodida; Argasidae. The record is from RefSeq and is a predicted model, not a curated record.